This 500-nucleotide ribosomal RNA is filed under the name uncultured bacterium. RNAcentral's name for it is "partial 16S ribosomal RNA". It matches the Rfam family "Bacterial small subunit ribosomal RNA", at positions 30 to 523 of the family's 1533-position model. The record is from RNAcentral.
AUUGAACGCUGGCGGCAUGCUUUACGCAUGCAAGUCGAACGGUAACAGGGUGCUUGCACCGCUGACGAGUGGCGAACGGGUGAGUAAUGCGUCGGAACGUGCCGAGUAGUGGGGGAUAACGCAGCGAAAGUUGUGCUAAUACCGCAUACGUACUGAGGUAGAAAGGGGGGGACCUUCGGGCCUCACGCUAUUCGAGCGGCCGACGUCUGAUUAGCUAGUAGGUGAGGUAAAGGCUCACCUAGGCGACGAUCAGUAGCGGGUCUGAGAGGAUGAUCCGCCACACUGGGACUGAGACACGGCCCAGACUCCUACGGGAGGCAGCAGUGGGGAAUUUUGGACAAUGGGCGAAAGCCUGAUCCAGCCAUGCCGCGUGUCUGAAGAAGGCCUUCGGGUUGUAAAGGACUUUUGUCAGGGAGGAAAUCCCUAGUGCUAAUAACACUGGGGGAUGACAGUACCUGAAGAAUAAGCACCGGCUAACUACGUGCCAGCAGCCGCAGUAA